RNAcentral lists this ribosomal RNA (907 nucleotides) under uncultured archaeon. RNAcentral's name for it is "bacterial SSU rRNA". It matches the Rfam family "Archaeal small subunit ribosomal RNA", at positions 1 to 921 of the family's 1478-position model. The record is from RNAcentral.
UCUGGUUGAUCCUGCCGGACCCGACUGCUAUCAGAGCGGGACUAAGCCAUGCGAGUCGACACAGCAAUGUGUGGCAUACGGCUCAGUAACACGUAGUCAACAUGCCCAGGGGACGUGGAUAACCUCGGGAAACUGAGGAUAAACCGCGAUAGGUCACUACUUCUGGAAUGGGUAAUGACCCAAACCUAUAUGGCCCCUGGAUUGGACUGCGGCCGAUCAGGCUGUUGGUGAGGUAAUGGCCCACCAAACCUGUAACCGGUACGGGCUCUGAGAGGAGGAGCCCGGAGAUGGGCACUGAGACAAGGGCCCAGGCCCUAUGGGGCGCAGCAGGCGCGAAACCUCUGCAAUAGGCGAAAGCUUGACAGGGUUACUCUGAGUGAUUUCCGUUAAGGAGAUCUUUUGGCACCUCUAAAAAUGGUGCAGAAUAAGGGGUGGGCAAGUCUGGUGUCAGCCGCCGCGGUAAUACCAGCACCCCGAGUGGUCGGGACGUUUAUUGGGCCUAAAGCAUCCGUAGCCGGUUCUACAAGUCUUCCGUUAAAUCCACCUGCUUAACAGAUGGGCUGCGGAAGAUACUAUGGAGCUAGGAGGCGGGAGAGGCAAGCGGUACUCGAUGGGUAGGGGUAAAAUCCGUUGAUCCAUUGAAGACCACCAGUGGCGAAGGCGGCUUGCCAGAACGCGCUCGACGGUGAGGGAUGAAAGCUGGGGGAGCAAACCGGAUUAGAUACCCGGGUAGUCCCAGCUGUAAACGAUGCAGACUCGGUGAGUUGGCUUUAUGCCAACUCAGUGCCGCAGGGAAGCCGUUAAGUUUGCCGCCUGGGGAGUACGGUCGCAAGACUGAAACUUAAAGGAAUUGGCAGGGGAGCACCACAAGGGGUGAAGCCUGCGGUUCAAAUGGAGUCAACGCCGG